Molecule: ribosomal RNA, 497 nt
Filed under: uncultured bacterium
Lineage: Bacteria
Description: partial 16S ribosomal RNA
Rfam family: Bacterial small subunit ribosomal RNA
Source: RNAcentral
GAUGAACGCUGGCGGCGUGCCUAAUACAUGCAAGUCGAGCGAACAGAUAAGGAGCUCGCUCCUUUGACGUUAGCGGCGGACGGGUGAGUAACACGUGGGUAACCUACCUAUAAGACUGGAAUAACUCCGGGAAACCGGGGCUAAUGCCGGAUAACAUUUAGAACCGCAUGGUUCUAAAGUGAAAGAUGGUUUUGCUAUCACUUAUAGAUGGACCCGCGCCGUAUUAGCUAGUUGGUAAGGUAACGGCUUACCAAGGCAACGAUACGUAGCCGACCUGAGAGGGUGAUCGGCCACACUGGAACUGAGACACGGUCCAGACUCCUACGGGAGGCAGCAGUAGGGAAUCUUCCGCAAUGGGCGAAAGCCUGACGGAGCAACGCCGCGUGAGUGAUGAAGGUCUUCGGAUCGUAAAACUCUGUUAUUAGGGAAGAACAAAUGUGUAAGUAACUGUGCACGUCUUGACGGUACCUAAUCAGAAAGCCACGGCUAACUACGUG